Triticum urartu is the source of this 402-nucleotide long non-coding RNA. RefSeq lists it as uncharacterized. Lineage: Eukaryota; Viridiplantae; Streptophyta; Magnoliopsida; Poales; Poaceae. The record is from RefSeq and is a predicted model, not a curated record.
GAAGCUGGGCAGAGAUCAUGGAGCGUUCUCCUUCAGCCUCUUCCCUCGCACGCGCUGUGGCAGUGCUGGUUCUCAUCAGCUGUUCCUUGACAUGUUCGGUGGCGAGGCAAGAUGCAGUUGCUCUGGAUGGCACUAGACCAACGGCCUCUCCUGCCCCGCCGGUUCCUCAUCCAUCAUACAAUCCGGGCCGGAAGCCAUACACGCCACCUCCAAGAAGGGGGCCGCCACCACUACCGCUCAAGACGUAGGCACUUGUGCCGCACCAAGAGACCCUGCAGGUUCCUUAGCAUCCAUUAUGCUUGAACCACCUAUAGAGCGUGUGUGCCAUCGAUUAGGGUGUGCUACUUGCUUGAGAAGUUAAGAUGCAAUGGAACUUUGGAAAGACUUUGUUUGCUUGGAAAA